RNAcentral lists this ribosomal RNA (1330 nucleotides) under Athyma sinope. RNAcentral's name for it is "Pandita sinope 16S ribosomal RNA". The record is from RNAcentral. Lineage: Eukaryota; Metazoa; Arthropoda; Insecta; Lepidoptera; Nymphalidae.
GGGGAAAAAUUAAUAAUGUAUAAAUAAUAAAAAAAUUUUUAAUAUUAGGGGGGAAGAUAUUGAAGUAUUUUUUUAAGAAAAAAUAUAUUAUUUUAUAGUAAAUUAGUAUUGAGAAAGAAAUUUGAAAUAAAUGAAAAUAAAUUAAUAAAAAAGUAAUUUUAAUUUAGUGUAUCUUGUGUAUCAGAGUUUAUUAAAAAAUAUUUUUUAUAAAAAAAAAUCUCGAAUUUAAAAGAGUUAAUUAAUUAAAAAAGUUAAUGUAGAAAAAUUAUUUUUAAUAAUUAAUUUGAAAUGAAAUGUUAAUCGUUUUUAAAUAUAUCUAGUUAUUUUAGAAAAAAAUUUAAUUUAAAAUUUAAAAAAUUUUAUUAUUAAUUAUAAUUAAUAAUAAAAUAUUUAAAAUUAAAUAUAUUAAGGGAUAAGCUUUAAUAUAGAAAUUUAUAAUAAAAUAAAAAUAAUUAUAAAAAUUUUAAAAUUUAUAUUGUUUAGAAAUUAUAAUUUAUUAUAAAAAAUUUUAUAAAUAAAUAAAAUUUAAAAUAAAAAAAUUUAAUUUUAUAUAAAAUAAUAAUUUUUAAAAAAAGAAAAUUAAAAAUAAUGAUAAAAUUAGUAUAUUAAUAUUAAAAAAAAAUUAAUUUAAUUAUAAUUAAGUUAAAGGAAUUCGGCAAAAAUUUAUAUUCACUUGUUUAUCAAAAACAUGUCUUUUAGAAAAUAAUUUAAAGUCUAAUCUGCCCACUGAUAAUUAUAUUAAAGGGCUGCAGUAUAUUGACUGUACAAAGGUAGCAUAAUCAAUAGUCUUUUAAUUGAAGACUUGUAUGAAAGAUUUGAUGAAAUAUAAACUGUCUCUAAUUUAAUAAUAAAAUUUAAUUUUUUAGUUAAAAAGCUAAAAUAAAUUUAAAAGACGAGAAGACCCUAUAGAGUUUCAUAUUAUUAUUAUUUAAGAUUAUAUUUAUAAUUAAAAAUUAAAAAUAAUAAUAAUAUUUUAUUGGGGUGAUAAAAAAAUUAAUAUAACUUUUUUAAGUUAAAUACAUAAAUAAGUGAAUAAUUGAUCCAUUAAUUAUGAUUAAAAGAAAAAAUUACCUUAGGGAUAACAGCGUAAUAUUUUUUUUUAGUACAAAUAAAAAAAAAAGUUUGCGACCUCGAUGUUGGAUUAAGAUAAAAUUUAAAUGCAAAAGUUUAAAAUUUUGAUCUGUUCGAUCAUUAAAAUCUUACAUGAUCUGAGUUCAAACCGGUGUGAGCCAGGUUGGUUUCUAUCUUUAAAUUAAUAAAAUAUUUUAGUACGAAAGGAUCAAAUAUUUUUAAUAAUUAAAAUUUAUUGAAUAUUAUUAAUAAUUUAAUU